This 254-nucleotide ribosomal RNA is filed under the name uncultured bacterium. Its description in RNAcentral is "partial 16S ribosomal RNA". It matches the Rfam family "Bacterial small subunit ribosomal RNA", at positions 524 to 776 of the family's 1533-position model. The record is from RNAcentral.
GACGAACCAUCCAAACGUUAUUCGGAAUUACUGGGCUUAAAGGGUGCGUAGGCUGCGCAGAAAGUUGGGUGUGAAAUCCCUCGGCUUAACCGAGGAACUGCGCCCAAAACUACUGUGCUUGAGGGAGACAGAGGUGGAGCGGAACUUAGGGUGGAGCGGUGAAAUGCGUUGAUAUCCUAAGGAACACCGGUGGCGAAGGCGGUUCUCUGGGCCUUACCUGACACUGAGGAGCGAAAGCGUGGGGAGCGAACAGG